CGCUGAACUUAAGCAUAUCAAUAAGCGGAGGAAAAGAAACUAACAGGGAUUCCCCUAGUAACGGCGAGUGAAGCGGGAUGAGCUCAAGCUUAAAAUCUCUGUGCAAGUUUUGCAUGGCGAAUUGUAGUCUAUGGAGGCGAUGUCAGUGCGACUGCGUGGGUUAAGUUCCUUGGAAGAGGACAGCAUCGAGGGUGAUACUCCCGUAUGUACCUGUGUAGUUGCGCGUACGACACGUUUUCUUUGAGUCGCGUUGUUUGGGAAUGCAGCGCAAAGUAGGUGGUAAAUUCCAUCUAAAGCUAAAUAUUGGUGCGAGACCGAUAGCGAACAAGUACCGUGAGGGAAAGAUGAAAAGAACUUUGAAAAGAGAGUUAAAGAGUACCUGAAACUGCUGAAAGGGAAUCGAAUCGUUUCCAGUGUCUAUAAUCCGUGACAUAUUUCAUUGGCGCGUGGGUGCGUGCAGUAUUUUGGAAGGGGUUUCCUCUCCUGGUGSUGUUGUGCGUCUGCUUGCUGGUGCCCUGUGUUGCGGUGGGACGUCAGAGUCAGUUCGUAUGCUGCGGGAAAUGGCUGUUAGGAAGGUAGGCUGCUUCGGCGGCUGUUAUAUCCUGGCGUGCUAGUCGUCGUGGUUGGGACUGAGGUGCCUACAACGUGCUUUUGAGUCUUUGGGACUCUCGUUUGGUCAUUUGCUUUGACAGCUUGCUGUGUUGGUGAAUGUAUCGAGCGAUUGAGAUCUAUCGUAACUUAUUGCCGUUCGGGACUUUGACGAAAUGGAGCGAUCCGUCCCGUCUUGAAACACGGACCAAGGAGUCUAACAUGUGUGCAAGUGUUAGGGUGUGGAAACCCCAGCGCGAAAUGAAAGUAAAGGGCAGCCUAGCUGCCUGAGGUAGGAAACCUUUGUUUACAGGGGUGGCACUAUCGACCGAUCAUGAGCCUACGUGGCGAAAGAUUUGAGUUUGAGCACAUAUGUUGGUACCCGAAAGAUGGUGAACUAUGCCUGAGUAGGGUGAAGCCAGGGGAAACUCUGGUGGAGGCUCGUAGCGAUUCUGACGUGCAAAUCGAUCGUCAAACUUGGGUAUAGGGGCGAAAGACUAAUCGAACCAUCUAGUAGCUGGUUCCCUCCGAAAUUUCCCUCAGGAUAGCAGCAACUUAUUUACGAUAGUUUUAUGAGGUAAAGCGAAUGAUUAGAGGAUUCUGGGAAGAAACUUUCUGGACCUAUUCUCAAACUUUAAAUCUGUAAGACCUGCAGGUUUCUUAAUUGAACUUGUGGAUGUGAAUAUCAAGUUGUUAGUGGGCCAUACCGGGUAAGCUGGUCUGGCG
RNAcentral lists this ribosomal RNA (1314 nucleotides) under Pythium grandisporangium. Its description in RNAcentral is "eukaryotic LSU rRNA". It matches the Rfam family "Eukaryotic large subunit ribosomal RNA", at positions 26 to 1155 of the family's 3401-position model. The record is from RNAcentral. Lineage: Eukaryota; Oomycota; Peronosporomycetes; Pythiales; Pythiaceae.